RNAcentral lists this long non-coding RNA (1880 nucleotides) under Chlamydomonas reinhardtii. RNAcentral's name for it is "long non-coding RNA (CREI_LNC000870)". The record is from RNAcentral. Lineage: Eukaryota; Viridiplantae; Chlorophyta; Chlorophyceae; Chlamydomonadales; Chlamydomonadaceae.
AGCCGUUGACUGAGUUGACCGUCGCGAAACAGCGUCCUUUCUCAGCAAGCCUUGCCAGCCGAACCCGAAUUUAUUUACCUUCACGGCAAUACACCAUGUACGUUUUGAAUGCCUGCAAUCGGGUUUCGGCCUCGCCCUGGGCCUGCUAAGAAAUUCACAACUCCCCGCGAGAAUGCUGGCCGUGCACUCAAUUAAAUAUGCUCAUGCAAGUAAGCUGAUUACAUGCAUAUUUGAGGAGCGGGGCGGGGCCAUUCCUCCAGGAAAUGGGGAACUCCUACCACAACCUCCUACAAUGUACGGAAUGGCCCAUCGCCGCGGGCAGCUUGCACUUAAGCUUGCCGGCCGGCGCGCACAGAUUCACCUUCAGGCAAGCACUCGCAGCCGCUCCAUCUGUAGCGUCGACCUUUCAGAACCACUCCAAAACAAUGGCCACUAUCUCGUCGAUGCGCGUUGGCGCUGCUUCCCGCGUGGUCGUCUCUGGCCGCGUGAAGGUGAGGCACUUGAUCGCACUUCUUCUUCAGUAGUGUCAAGGCGGCAGGUUCAUGGCGCGGCUUGAUAGGCGACCAGAGCGACUUGCAAGCUUGGCCUCGGCGCAAAUGCCGUUACACGACCGCGCUUGCUUGGCUUCGCGCGCCGAGCAGCGCAGCUGCAUGGCAAUGGUUGUUAUGAUCAUAGUCUCCACCACGCCUUGCUCUUCAGCCUUUCUGAUGCGACUGUUACUGUCCUUCGCGCGCCCUUGCAGACCGUGAAGGUCGCCGCCCGCGGCAGCUGGCGCGAGUCUUCCACUGCCACCGUGCAGGCCAGGUGAGCACACUUCUGCAGCUAUGAGAUGCAUCUGGGUCCAGCUUAAAGCGGCUCGCGUUGUGUGGCGCGCCGCGAUCCCUUAUCCGCUCGCCUGCCAGCCGGGCCUUUUCGCACUUGUUUCCUAAGUCAAGUUCGAACCUGCAGCUGGCUGUGCAUAUCUUGCUAAGUGAUAGCGCGGUUGUACGCGGUUUGAGUACGCUGCUCAACUGGUGUACUGACACGUUUGCUUGCCGUUUCCCCUGGUGCCCCUUCGCCCCUGCAGCCGCGCCUCGUCGGCCACCAACCGCGUGAGCCCCACCCGCUCCGUCCUGCCCGCCAACUGGCGCCAGGAGCUGGAGAGCCUGCGCAACGGCAACGGCUCCUCCUCGGCUGCCUCGUCGGCCCCCGCCCCGGCCCGCUCCUCGUCGGCCAGCUGGCGCGACGCCGCCCCGGCCUCGUCGGCCCCUGCCCGCUCCAGCUCUGCCUCCAAGAAGGCCGUGACCCCGUCGCGCAGCGCCCUGCCCUCCAACUGGAAGCAGGAGCUGGAGAGCCUGCGCAGCAGCUCCCCCGCCCCCGCCUCGUCGGCCCCCGCCCCGGCCCGCUCCUCGUCGGCCAGCUGGCGUGAUGCCGCCCCGGCCUCGUCGGCCCCCGCCCGCUCCAGCUCCUCCAAGAAGGCUGUGACCCCGUCGCGCAGCGCCCUGCCCUCCAACUGGAAGCAGGAGCUGGAGAGCCUGCGCAGCAGCUCCCCCGCCCCCGCCUCGUCGGCCCCUGCCCCGGCCCGCUCCUCGUCGGCCAGCUGGCGUGACGCCGCCCCGGCCUCGUCGGCCCCUGCCCGCUCCAGCUCUGCCUCCAAGAAGGCCGUGACCCCGUCGCGCAGCGCCCUGCCCUCCAACUGGAAGCAGGAGCUGGAGAGCCUGCGCAGCAACUCCCCUGCCCCCGCCUCGUCGGCCCCUGCCCCGGCCCGCUCCUCGUCGGCCAGCUGGCGUGACGCCCCCGCCUCGAGCUCCAGCUCGAGCGCCGACAAGGCCGGCACCAACCCCUGGACUGGCAAGUCCAAGCCCGAGAUCAAGCGCACCGCCCUGCCCGCUGACUGGCGC